Long non-coding RNA from Oreochromis niloticus (Nile tilapia), 13138 nucleotides. RefSeq annotates it as hemicentin-1. NCBI's taxonomy places the organism in Eukaryota, Metazoa, Chordata, Actinopteri, Cichliformes, Cichlidae. The transcript is spliced from 44 exons. The record is from RefSeq and is a predicted model, not a curated record.
AAAAAAAAAAAAAAAUCACAUAAUUUUUCACUCCCAUUUUGUCAAAAAACAGGGGAGAGAAACAAAAAUACACUUUGUGAAAGACUACAGUAAAAAAUUACAUAAAAUAUAGGAGGAGGAGAACCUAUAAGCUACCGUUACUCCACAAAGGGCUGGCUGCAGAUGUGGUUUUGUAUCUUGGGCUUUACCGAGUUUCCUGUACACAAGGGCGUUGAAUUUCCUCUCUAGUUUUUUUUCUGCCUGUGAAACCUUUAGUCGGUCAUCAUAAGUAGGAUCUGCAUCGAGCUGAUGUUCAUUUAACUCAGGUCCUGAAGCUGGAUAAUCUCUGGACGAUCCUGAAACACUGCUCCACUCACCUCAUUCCUCCUGCAUGCUGUGCAAGCAUGCUGCCUGUCAGGAUGCUGAGCAUUCUCAUCCUCCUCUUUUCACUGUGCGAUGCUGACAGCAUAUGCACAACAGAGUUCAAGAUGGAUCCACCUGAGAUUAUUGCAGAAUAUGGGGGAAGUCCUGUCAUUGUAAACUGCACCACAACAUUGGAUGAACAUGACGGGAUGUACUGGACAGUUGGAAAUGAAAUCUUUCAGCUCGAAGAUGAAGAAUUGUUUAUCUCCCAUUCAGUGCCAGUGUCAGACUGGAAUGUGACGGCCGAGUGUAAAAUGAAGUUAAAUGAGUCUUAUGAAUGCAGCAAGGACCUCAAAGUUAUUUUAUUCAAGAAUCCAGAAGUUGUUCAUUCUGUACAGCUUGUGAAUGUGAUGGGAGAAGAAACACAGUACAGACUGCAGUGUGAUAUAAUCAAUGUUGCUCCUGUUCAGUUCCUCAGUGUUAGCUGGUACAAAAACAAUGAAAACAUCAGGACAAUGUCUUUCAAUGACACAACCAAAACCCCAGUAAAUGAGUCCUCGAUUCUGAGAGUCGACAUCAGCAGAGAAGAAAAUGUAGCUCAGUUCAGAUGUGAAGCUGAGCUGGACUUUGGACCACAUGGACCAAAACUUCCUGCCAUUUCUCAAACACACAGCAUUUCAGCCCACUAUGUUCCAGAGUUAAAGACAAAUAGUACUGCUGACGUCUAUCAGUUGAGAGGUACUAAUAUCGCCUUGAGCUGUGAAGCUGAGGGAAACCCUCCUCCUGUGUAUAACUGGAUUUGUGAUGGGGAAAACAUGUUGGAGAACACAAACAGUCUCAAUAUUACUCGAGUCAAUCGCAAUAAAACCUGCACCUGCACAGCUACCAAUUAUCUGGGAAACAUAACUAAGACAAUCCAUCUUCAUGUUGAACCAAGAGGUUGCCCACUAACACUGACACCUUCUGAAACUGUUGUGAAAUUUGGAGAUCCAGUUUCAGUCAGCUGCAGCACAUCAGCCAGAUAUGUUGAAGGAAUGGGUUGGGAGGCUCCAUUUGGAGGUACAGGAUUUGAACGUCCUCCUGUUGUCACUUGGAGGGUUGAAAAACUAGAAGAGUGGAAUCCAAGUCCUUCCUGCUAUGCUACUUUGGUUGAUGGAUCCCAGUAUACUGAGAAACCAGUCAUCACUGUUUAUAAAACACCAGACAUUGUGUCAAUAUAUCCACUGAACCAAAGUCACAUGACGGAGGAACAUGUACACAUAGUGCCUUACAAUAAAAACACAAGGACACAGCACUGGUUAGGGUGUGACAUCAUCAAUGUUGCUCCUGUUCAACACCUGACUGUUAGAUGGUACAAAAAUAAUAAAACCAUCCAGACACAGUCCUUCAAUGACACAACAACUAAAAUGCCAGUAAAUGAGUCCUCUAUUCUGAGAAUCGACAUCAGCAGAGAAGAAAAAGCCAUUGAGUUCAGAUGUGAAGCUGAGCUGGACUUUGGACCACAUGGACCAAAACUUCCUGCCAUUUUUCAAACACACAGCAUUUCAGCCCACUAUGCUCCAGAGUUAAAGACAAAUAGUACUGCUGACGUCUAUCAGUUGAGAGGUACUAAUAUCGCCUUGAGCUGUGAAGCUGAGGGAAACCCUCCUCCUGUGUAUAACUGGAUUUGUGAUGGGGAAAACAUGUUGGAGAACACAAACAGUCUCAAUAUUACUCGAGUCAAUCGCAAUAAAACCUGCACCUGCACAGCUACCAAUUAUCUGGGAAACAUAACUAAGACAAUCCAUCUUCAUGUUGAACCAAGAGGUUGCCCACUAACACUGACACCUUCUGAAACUGUUGUGAAAUUUGGAGAUCCAGUUUCAGUCAGCUGCAGCACAUCAGCCAGAUAUGUUGAAGGAAUGGGUUGGGAGGCUCCAUUUGGAGGUACAGGAUUUGAACGUCCUCCUGUUGUCACUUGGAGGGUUGAAAAACUAGAAGAGUGGAAUCCAAGUCCUUCCUGCUAUGCUACUUUGGUUGAUGGAUCCCAGUAUACUGAGAAACCAGUCAUCACUGUUUAUAAAACACCAGACAUUGUGUCAAUAUAUCCACUGAACCAAAGUCACAUGACGGAGGAACAUGUACACAUAGUGCCUUACAAUAAAAACACAAGGACACAGCACUGGUUAGGGUGUGACAUCAUCAAUGUUGCUCCUGUUCAACACCUGACUGUUAGAUGGUACAAAAAUAAUAAAACCAUCCAGACACAGUCCUUCAAUGACACAACAACUAAAAUGCCAGUAAAUGAGUCCUCUAUUCUGAGAAUCGACAUCAGCAGAGAAGAAAAAGCCAUUGAGUUCAGAUGUGAAGCUGAGCUGGACUUUGGACCACAUGGACCAAAACUUCCUGCCAUUUUUCAAACACACAGAGUUUCAGCCCACUAUGCUCCUGAGAUCAACACAAGUUGUACUGUUGACAUCUCACCACUUGAGGGCACUAACAUCACCUUGAGCUGUGAAGUUGAGGGCAACCCUCCUCCUGUGUAUAACUGGACUUGUGAUGGGGAAAACAUGUUGGAGAACACAAACAGUCUCAAUAUUACUCGAGUCAAUCGCAAUAAAACCUGCACCUGCACAGCUACCAAUUAUCUGGGAAACAUAACCAAGACAAUCCAUCUUCAUGUUGAACCAAGAGGUUGUCCUCUAACUCUGGCACCUUCUGAAAUUGUUGUGAGAUUUGGAGAUCCAGUUUCAAUCAACUGCAGCACACCAGCCACAGAUGUUGUCAGAAUGGACUGGGUGGCUCCUGCUGGACACACAGGAUUUGAAAGUCUUACUGCUGCCACUUGGAUGAUUGAGAAAUUUCAAGACUGGGCAUCAAAACCUUCAUGCAACAUCACUCUAAAUGAUGAUUUUCAGUGUUCUGUGAGUCCAGUCAUCACCGUUUAUAAAGCUCCAGAAAUGGUGUCAGUUACUGAAUUGGAUAAUGCUCAAACAGCAGGGGGGACAGCAUACAAAAAUUACCCACAUACACAACAUAAACUGCAGUGUGACAUCAUAAAUGUUGCUCCUGUUCAAUAUCUCACUGUUAGCUGGUACAAAAGCAAUGAAAGGAUCCACACCCAAUUUUUCAAUGACACAACAACCAAAACUCCAGUAAAUGAGUCCUCGAUUCUGAAAAUAAACAUCAGCAGAGAAGAAAAUGUAGCUGAGUUCAGAUGUGAAGCUGAGCUGGACUUUGGACCACAUGGACCAAAACUUUAUGUCAGUUCUCAAACACACAAUGUUUCAGCCCACUAUGCUCCGGAAAAAAACACAAAGAAAAGUACUCAAGACAUUUUUCUGGUUGAGGGCACUAACAUCACCUUGAGCUGUGAAGCUGUUGGAAACCCUCCUCCUGUGUAUAACUGGACUUGCGAUGGGAAAAAUAUGUUGGAGAACACAAACAGUCUCAAUAUCACCCGAGUAAAGCACAACGCAACUUGCACCUGCACAGCUACCAAUUAUCUGGGAAACAUAACCCACACAAUCAAUGUUCAUGUGAAAAAAAGAGGUUGCCCACUAACACUGACACCUUCUGAAACUGUGGUGACAUUUGGAGAUCCAGUUUCAAUCAACUGCAGCACAUCAGCCACAGAUGUUCAAGGAAUGGGCUGGGAGGCUCCAUUUGGAGGAACAGGAUUUGAACGUCCUCCUGUUGUCACUUGGAGGGUUGAAAAACUAGAAGAGUGGACUCCAAGUCCUUUCUGCUAUGCUACCUUGGUUGAUGGAUCCCAGUGUACUGUUAGUCCAGUCAUCACUGUUUAUAAAGCUCCAGAAAUGGUGUCAGUUACUGAAUUGGAUAAUGCUCAAACAGCAAGGGGGACAGCAUACAAAAAUUACCCACAUACACAACAUAAACUGCAGUGUGACAUCAUAAAUGUUGCUCCUGUUCAAUAUCUCACUGUUAGCUGGUACAAAAGCAAUGAAAGGAUCCACACCCAGUUUUUCAAUGACACAACAACCAAAACUCCAGUAAAUGAGUCCUCGAUUCUGAAAAUAAACAUCAGCAGAGAAGAAAAUGUAGCUGAGUUCAGAUGUGAAGCUGGGCUGGACUUUGGACCACAAGGACCAAAACUUUAUGUCAAUUCUCAAACACACAGAGUUUCAGCCCACUAUGCUCCGGAGCUGAAGACACAAAAUAGUUGUUAUUACACUUAUGCACUUGAGGGCACUAAUAUCACAUUGAGCUGUGAAGCUAUUGGAAACCCUCCUCCUGUGUAUAACUGGACUUGUGAUGGGGAAAAUAUGUUGGAGAACACAAACAGUCUCAAUAUUACUCGAGUCAAUCGCAAUAAAACCUGCACCUGCACAGCUACCAAUUAUCUGGGAAACAUAACCAAGACAAUCCAUCUUCAUGUUGAACCAAGAGGUUGCCCCCUAACAGUGAACCCUUCUGAAAUUGUUGUGAGAUUUGGAGAUCCAGUUUCAGUCAACUGCAGCACAUCAGCCAGGUAUGUCACUGGAAUGGGCUGGGAGGCUCCAUUUGGAGGAACAGGAUUUGAACGUCCUCCUGUUGUCACUUGGAGGGUUGAUAAACUGGAAGAGUGGACUCCAAGUCCUUUCUGCUAUGCUACUCUGGAUGAUGGAUCCCAGUGUACUUUGAGACCAGUCAUUACUAUUUUUAAAACUCCAGACUUUGUGUCAAUCUCUGUAUUGGAUCAUAGUCUAAUUAUGCAGGACACAGAGUACAAUAACUCCACAAGGACACAGUACUGGCUGCAGUGUAACAUCAUAAAUGUUGCUCCUGUUCAGUUCCUCACUGUUAACUGGUACAAAAACAAUGAAAGCAUCAUGGCAAUGUCUUUCAAUGACACAACAACCAAAACUCCAGUAAAUGAGUCCUCGAUUCUGAAAAUAAACAUCAGCAGAGAAGAAAAUGUAGCUGAGUUCAGAUGUGAAGCUGAGCUGGACUUUGGACCACAUGGACCAAAACUUUAUGUCAGUUCUCAAACACACAAUGUUUCAGCCCACUAUGCUCCGGAAAAAAACACAAAGAAAAGUACUCAAGACAUUUUUCUGGUUGAGGGCACUAAUAUCACCUUGAGCUGUGAAGCUGUUGGAAACCCUCCUCCUGUGUAUAACUGGACUUGUGAUGGGAAAAAUAUGUUGGAGAACACAAACAGUCUCAAUAUCACCCGAGUAAAGCACAACGCAACUUGCACCUGCACAGCUACCAAUUAUCUGGGAAACAUAACCCACACAAUCAAUGUUCAUGUGAAAAAAAGAGGUUGCCCACUAACACUGACACCUUCUGAAACUGUGGUGACAUUUGGAGAUCCAGUUUCAGUCAACUGCAGCACAUCAGCCACAGAUGUUGAAGGAAUGGGCUGGGAGGCUCCAUUUGGAGGUACAGGAUUUGAGCCUCCUCCUGUUGUCACUUGGAGGGUUGAUAAACUGGAAGAGUGGACUCCAAGUCCUUUCUGCUAUGCUACUCUGGAUGAUGGAUCCCAGUGUACUUUGAGACCAGUCAUUACUAUUUUUAAAACUCCAGACUUUGUGUCAAUCUCUGUAUUGGAUCAUAGUCUAAUUAUGCAGGACACAGAGUACAAUAACUCCACAAGGACACAGUACUGGCUGCAGUGUAACAUCAUAAAUGUUGCUCCUGUUCAGUUCCUCACUGUUAACUGGUACAAAAACAAUGAAAGCAUCAUGGCAAUGUCUUUCAAUGACACAACAACCAAAACUCCAGUAAAUGAGUCCUCGAUUCUGAAAAUAAACAUCAGCAGAGAAGAAAAUGUAGCUGAGUUCAGAUGUGAAGCUGAGCUGGACUUUGGACCACAUGGACCAAAACUUUAUGUCAGUUCUCAAACACACAAUGUUUCAGCCCACUAUGCUCCGGAAAAAAACACAAAGAAAAGUACUCAAGACAUUUUUCUGGUUGAGGGCACUAAUAUCACCUUGAGCUGUGAAGCUGUUGGAAACCCUCCUCCUGUGUAUAACUGGACUUGUGAUGGGAAAAAUAUGUUGGAGAACACAAACAGUCUCAAUAUCACCCGAGUAAAGCACAACGCAACUUGCACCUGCACAGCUACCAAUUAUCUGGGAAACAUAACCCACACAAUCAAUGUUCAUGUGAAAAAAAGAGGUUGCCCACUAACACUGACACCUUCUGAAACUGUGGUGACAUUUGGAGAUCCAGUUUCAGUCAACUGCAGCACAUCAGCCACAGAUGUUGAAGGAAUGGGCUGGGAGGCUCCAUUUGGAGGUACAGGAUUUGAGCCUCCUCCCGUUGUCACUUGGAGGGUUGAAAAACUAGAAGAGUGGACUCCAAGUCCUUUCUGCUAUGUUACCUUGGUUGAUGGAUCCCAGUGUACUGUUAGUCCAGUCAUCACUGUUUAUAAAAUCCCAGACACUGUGUCAAUUUAUCCAAUGAAUCAAAGCCAAAUGAUCGAGAAACAUGUGCAUUACAAUAAGCACACAAGGACACUGCGUGGGCUGCAGUGUAACAUCAUAAAUGUUGCUCCUGUUCAGUUCCUCACUGUUAACUGGUACAAAAACAAUGAAAGCAUCAUGGCAAUGUCUUUCAAUGACACAACAACCAAAACUCCAGUAAAUGAGUCCUCGAUUCUGAAAAUAAACAUCAGCAGAGAAGAAAAUGUAGCUGAGUUCAGAUGUGAAGCUGAGCUGGACUUUGGACCACAUGGACCAAAACUUUAUGUCAGUUCUCAAACACACAAUGUUUCAGCCCACUAUGCUCCGGAAAAAAACACAAAGAAAAGUACUCAAGACAUUUUUCUGGUUGAGGGCACUAAUAUCACCUUGAGCUGUGAAGCUGUUGGAAACCCUCCUCCUGUGUAUAACUGGACUUGUGAUGGGAAAAAUAUGUUGGAGAACACAAACAGUCUCAAUAUCACCCGAGUAAAGCACAACGCAACUUGCACCUGCACAGCUACCAAUUAUCUGGGAAACAUAACCCACACAAUCAAUGUUCAUGUGAAAAAAAGAGGUUGCCCACUAACACUGACACCUUCUGAAACUGUGGUGACAUUUGGAGAUCCAGUUUCAGUCAACUGCAGCACAUCAGCCACAGAUGUUGAAGGAAUGGGCUGGGAGGCUCCAUUUGGAGGUACAGGAUUUGAGCCUCCUCCUGUUGUCACUUGGAGGGUUGAAAAACUAGAAGAGUGGACUCCAAGUCCUUUCUGCUAUGCUACCUUGGUUGAUGGAUCCCAGUGUACUGUGAGUCCAGUCAUCACUGUUUAUAAAAUACCAGACACUGUGUCAAUUUAUCCAAUGAAUCAAAGCCAAAUGAUGGAGAAACAUGUGCAUUACAAUAAGCACACAAGGACACUGCGUGGGCUGCAGUGUAACAUCAUAAAUGUUGCUCCUGUUCAGUUCCUCACUGUUAACUGGUACAAAAACAAUGAAAGCAUCAUGGCAAUGUCUUUCAAUGACACAACAACCAAAACUCCAGUAAAUGAGUCCUUGAUUCUGAAAGUAAACAUAAGCAGAGAAGAAAAUGUAGCUGAGUUCAGAUGUGAAGCUGAGCUGGACUUUGGACCACAUGGACCAAAACUUUAUAUCAGUUCUCAAACACACAAUGUUUCAGCCCACUAUGCUCCGGAGCUGAAGACACAAAUUAGUACUGAUGUCACUUAUGCACUUGAGGGCACUAAUAUCACAUUGAGCUGUGAAGCUAUUGGAAACCCUCCUCCUGUGUAUAACUGGACUUGUGAUGGGGAAAAUAUGUUGGAGAACACAAACAGUCUCAAUAUUACUCGAGUCAAUCGCAAUAAAACCUGCACCUGCACAGCUACCAAUUAUCUGGGAAACAUAACCAAGACAAUCCAUCUUCAUGUUGAACCAAGAGGUUGCCCCCUAACAGUGAACCCUUCUGAAAUUGUUGUGAGAUUUGGAGAUCCAGUUUCAGUCAACUGCAGCACAUCAGCCAGGUAUGUCACUGGAAUGGGCUGGGAGGCUCCAUUUGGAGGAACAGGAUUUGAACGUCCUCCUGUUGUCACUUGGAGGGUUGAUAAACUGGAAGAGUGGACUCCAAGUCCUUUCUGCUAUGCUACUCUGGAUGAUGGAUCCCAGUGUACUUUGAGACCAGUCAUUACUAUUUUUAAAACUCCAGACUUUGUGUCAAUCUCUGUAUUGGAUCAUAGUCUAAUUAUGCAGGACACAGAGUACAAUAACUCCACAAGGACACAGUACUGGCUGCAGUGUAACAUCAUAAAUGUUGCUCCUUUUCAGUUCCUCACUGUUAACUGGUACAAAAACAAUGAAAGCAUCAUGGCAAUGUCUUUCAAUGACACAACAACCAAAACUCCAGUAAAUGAGUCCUCGAUUCUGAAAAUAAACAUCAGCAGAGAAGAAAAUGUAGCUGAGUUCAGAUGUGAAGCUGAGCUGGACUUUGCACCACAUGGACCAAAACUUUAUAUCAGUUCUCAAACACACAAUGUUUCAGCCCACUAUGCUCCGGAGCUGAAGACACAAAAUAGUUCUUAUCACACUUAUGCACUUGAGGGCACUAAUAUCACAUUGAGCUGUGAAGCUAUUGGAAACCCUCCUCCUGUGUAUAACUGGACUUGUGAUGGGGAAAAUAUGUUGGAGAACACAAACAGUCUCAAUAUUACUCGAGUCAAUCGCAAUAAAACCUGCACCUGCACAGCUACCAAUUAUCUGGGAAACAUAACCAAGACAAUCCAUCUUCAUGUUGAACCAAGAGGUUGCUCCCUAACAGUGAACCCUUCUGAAAUUGUUGUGAGAUUUGGAGAUCCAGUUUCAGUCAACUGCAGCACAUCAGCCAGGUAUGUCACUGGAAUGGGCUGGGAGGCUCCAUUUGGAGGAACAGGAUUUGAACGUCCUCCUGUUGUCACUUGGAGGGUUGAUAAACUGGAAGAGUGGACUCCAAGUCCUUUCUGCUAUGCUACUCUGGAUGAUGGAUCCCAGUGUACUUUGAGACCAGUCAUUACUAUUUUUAAAACUCCAGACUUUGUGUCAAUCUCUGUAUUGGAUCAUAGUCUAAUUAUGCAGGACACAGAGUACAAUAACUCCACAAGGACACAGUACUGGCUGCAGUGUAACAUCAUAAAUGUUGCUCCUGUUCAGUUCCUCACUGUUAACUGGUACAAAAACAAUGAAAGCAUCAUGGCAAUGUCUUUCAAUGACACAACAACCAAAACUCCAGUAAAUGAGUCCUCGAUUCUGAAAAUAAACAUCAGCAGAGAAGAAAAUGUAGCUGAGUUCAGAUGUGAAGCUGAGCUGGACUUUGGACCACAUGGACCAAAACUUUAUGUCAGUUCUCAAACACACAAUGUUUCAGCCCACUAUGCUCCGGAAAAAAACACAAAGAAAAGUACUCAAGACAUUUUUCUGGUUGAGGGCACUAAUAUCACCUUGAGCUGUGAAGCUGUUGGAAACCCUCCUCCUGUGUAUAACUGGACUUGUGAUGGGAAAAAUAUGUUGGAGAACACAAACAGUCUCAAUAUCACCCGAGUAAAGCACAACGCAACUUGCACCUGCACAGCUACCAAUUAUCUGGGAAACAUAACCCACACAAUCAAUGUUCAUGUGAAAAAAAGAGGUUGCCCACUAACACUGACACCUUCUGAAACUGUGGUGACAUUUGGAGAUCCAGUUUCAGUCAACUGCAGCACAUCAGCCACAGAUGUUGAAGGAAUGGGCUGGGAGGCUCCAUUUGGAGGUACAGGAUUUGAGCCUCCUCCUGUUGUCACUUGGAGGGUUGAAAAACUAGAAGAGUGGACUCCAAGUCCUUUCUGCUAUGCUACCUUGGUUGAUGGAUCCCAGUGUACUGUGAGUCCAGUCAUCACUGUUUAUAAAAUACCAGACACUGUGUCAAUUUAUCCAAUGAAUCAAAGCCAAAUGAUGGAGAAACAUGUGCAUUACAAUAAGCACACAAGGACACUGCGUGGGCUGCAGUGUAACAUCAUAAAUGUUGCUCCUGUUCAGUUCCUCACUGUUAACUGGUACAAAAACAAUGAAAGCAUCAUGGCAAUGUCUUUCAAUGACACAACAACCAAAACUCCAGUAAAUGAGUCCUUGAUUCUGAAAGUAAACAUAAGCAGAGAAGAAAAUGUAGCUGAGUUCAGAUGUGAAGCUGAGCUGGACUUUGGACCACAUGGACCAAAACUUUAUAUCAGUUCUCAAACACACAAUGUUUCAGCCCACUAUGCUCCGGAGCUGAAGACACAAAUUAGUACUGAUGUCACUUAUGCACUUGAGGGCACUAAUAUCACAUUGAGCUGUGAAGCUAUUGGAAAUCCUCUUCCUGUGUAUAACUGGACUUGUGAUGGGGAAAAUAUGUUGGAGAACACAAACAGUCUCAAUAUUACUCGAGUCAAUCGCAAUAAAACCUGCACCUGCACAGCUACCAAUUAUCUGGGAAACAUAACCAAGACAAUCCAUCUUCAUGUUGAACCAAGAGGUUGCCCCCUAACAGUGAACCCUUCUGAAAUUGUUGUGAGAUUUGGAGAUCCAGUUUCAGUCAACUGCAGCACAUCAGCCAGGUAUGUCACUGGAAUGGGCUGGGAGGCUCCAUUUGGAGGAACAGGAUUCAAACCUCCUCCUGUUGUCACUUGGAGGGUUGAUAAACUGGAAGAGUGGACUCCAAGUCCUUUCUGCUAUGCUACUCUGGCUGAUGGAUCCCGGUGCACUUCCCAUCCAGUCAUCAUUGUUUAUAAAACUCCAGACUUUGUGUCAGUCCCUGACAUGGCUCGUGGUCCAAUGGUGGAGGGCAUAGGGUACAAUUUGAAAUGUGAUAUCUACAAUGUUGCUCCUGUUCAAAAUCUCAUAGUGAAGUGGUACAGAGGCAAUGAAACUGUGCUCACACAGACAUUCAAUGGAUCUGCUCUGACUCCAGUCAACACAUCUUCUACUCUGAGAAUCUCCACUCAGAGAGAUUACAAUGGAUUAACUUUUAGAUGUGAGGCUGCGCUGCACCUCGGACCCAAAGGACCAAAGUUCCCCCCUAAUGUAACCUCACCACCUUACACUGCUGUUGUUCUCUAUAAGCCAUUAAUGAAAGCUUGUCCAGACCACGUCACUGUUGUUGAAAAUGCUGCCUUCAGCAUUGACAUGUUACCUUGUCAACCUGAUGGGAGCCCUCCUCCCACUGUUCAGUGGUUCUAUGAGGAGAAACUCAUCAAUCCAUCUAAGUCACUGACCAGGACUGACUCUGGAAAGUACACGGCUGUAGUUGAAAACAGUCUUGGCAGAAGCAACACCUCAGUUCAUAUCACAGUGGAACACAGUCCUUCUUUCACCUGCAAAGAGCACUAUGAGGUCACAGUGAAUGAUAAACCUCAAAGUAUCUGUGAACCAGUAGGAUUACCUACACCCACCCUCACCUGGUUUAAAGAUGGUAAACAGAUGGUUUCCCCACAGCGCUGGAAAAAGAAUGAUAGUGGAAAAUACUUGCUUAAUGCACACAACACACAUGGAACAGCUGAACACACACUGUAUCUUGAAAUUUUGUAUGCCCCUGAGUUCAAGGAAGGAAAUGAAAGCAAGGAGGUGCUGCAGGGUGAGAAUGUUACUUUAAGCUGUAGUGCUGACAGUAACCCACCCUCAAACAUCAGAUGGAUCUACACAGCUGCUGAGAAUUCAAACGUGACCACUGAGGGGCACCAGAAGAUAAUCACUAUCACUAGAGCCACGUCUACCAAUGCUGGUUAUUACAUUUGUGUUGCAGAGAAUAAAGUUGGGAGAAAUAAAAGAUUCAUCACACUGAUGAUAACAGGUAAAAGCAGUAAAAUCCUAUUUCCAAUCAUUUGGGUGUCGCUCACUCUAUUGAUCAUCAGUCUGAUUCUUCUUGUGGUCUGUUGUCGCAUUUGCCAAAAAAAACGUGGACAUUACAGUUUUUUUCCUGUCAAAGUGCCAAAUGUCUCAAAUAUCCCUUUGACUACUGCACAAACCAAUGGAAAAGCUUGGGAUUUUUAAUAAAUUCUGUUCUGCACAUCAAAUUUUGCCCCCUGGCCUGGUGGGUUUCAGGGAGGGAGGUGAUCCAAAAUCCUGCAACUGUUUAUUAAAAUACAGAAGAAUGGAUCAUGUACUUGUUUACAGCUUUGAUCGCAGGAUUUAUUCUACUUCCUUAAACAAAGAGAGACAAACUCAAUCUCUUUCUAUGAUGACCAGCAUCUCUUUGAAAGGUAUGGCACGACAGAUGUUAAUACAUUGCCAAGAAGUGCAUGAAUAUCAUUACAUGAGAACUGAAGCACGAUAGAGUGACUCAUGUUCAUGAAUGUUCUUCUCUAGUUGUACUUGAAAUACACAGUGACCAUUGUAACAAUAUCUCAACAUUUGUUCACAUUAACAAUGGUAAUGUGGUAACAUUAACGAUUUGUUCAGGUUACCCAAAUAUAUCUCAUGCAUCACCAAAUACAAUAUAUUAUAAACUCAAAGCAAGCAACUAAUAAAUAAGCCUCAAUACAAAGCCUAUUCAUUAAAAAAUUUGUAGGCCUACAUUACUUUUUGCAUCCCCUCUUAUCUCAAAAAUACAUUAAAAUUUAAAGUCCAAUUAAUUUAUUGUCACAAAUACAAUUUCUAUUUCUUUCGCAUAGCUAAUGCACUUGAAGCACACUUUGCCUGCUAAGGUCUGCUGGCCGACUAUGACGAUAUAGAAGUGACAAUCUCACUUUAAGAACAGUACUUCAUCAUUUUCCAGAGUUAUAUUUCACUUUAACAGGUUCACAACAGUCUUAUUAUUUCUGCUGUGUUACAUACAAGCCAUUUUAAGGACUAUUAAUCAAACCUGUAUAUUAAAAUGUUUAUUCAGAAACACUUGUGUACUCUAUUUGGAAUAAAAUCUUAUUUUUAUA